CAGUAGCCACGGGAAUACGGAGGGUGCAAGCGUUAUCCGGAUUUAUUGGGUUUAAAGGGUCCGUAGGCGGAUCUGUAAGUCAGUGGUGAAAUCUCACAGCUUAACUGUGAAACUGCCAUUGAUACUGCAGGUCUUGAGUAAAUUUGAAGUGGCUGGAAUAAGUAGUGUAGCGGUGAAAUGCAUAGAUAUUACUUAGAACACCAAUUGCGAAGGCAGGUCACUAAGAUUUAACUGACGCUGAUGGACGAAAGCGUGGGGAGCGAACAGGAUUAGAUACCCCCGUAGUCCAUGUCUCUUAUAC
Molecule: ribosomal RNA, 301 nt
Filed under: uncultured bacterium
Lineage: Bacteria
Description: partial 16S ribosomal RNA
Rfam family: Bacterial small subunit ribosomal RNA
Source: RNAcentral